This 81-nucleotide transfer RNA is filed under the name Rhodomicrobium vannielii ATCC 17100. It matches the Rfam family "tRNA". Rfam says of the family: Transfer RNA (tRNA) molecules are approximately 80 nucleotides in length. Lineage: Bacteria; Pseudomonadati; Pseudomonadota; Alphaproteobacteria; Hyphomicrobiales; Hyphomicrobiaceae. The record is from Rfam by way of RNAcentral.
GCGCACGUGGUGAAAUGGCAGACACGGUAGGUUUAGGUCCUACUGCCGCAAGGCGUGGGGGUUCAAGUCCCUCCGUGCGCA